UCCCUGGCAGUCCAGUGGUUAGGACUUGGUACUUCUACUGCCAAGGCCUGGGUUCAAUCCCUGGUUAGGGAA
Molecule: non-coding RNA, 72 nt
Organism: Kogia breviceps (pygmy sperm whale)
Lineage: Eukaryota; Metazoa; Chordata; Mammalia; Artiodactyla; Physeteridae
Source: the annotation of a RefSeq genome assembly